CUGUGUUUGAAGACGUUUCGAACGGCUCUGGCAGCGGCGUCACACUUUGCUAUGCAGCCACUACUGCUGGUUGUCCUCGCCUGCGCUGCGCUGGCUCUGCCCACAGAGGUGAGAGGCAACUAUGGCUGUCACCUGCUGUCCACUGAUGAGACCGAUUGUGAUCAUCCUGAUCAUUCCACCAGCUAUUAUGCUUUCUACCACGGGACGGCUCCCUUGUCAUCCUCGGGAUC
Molecule: long non-coding RNA, 230 nt
Organism: Branchiostoma belcheri (Belcher's lancelet)
Lineage: Eukaryota; Metazoa; Chordata; Leptocardii; Amphioxiformes; Branchiostomatidae
Exons: 3
Source: RefSeq, a predicted model, not a curated record